This is a non-coding RNA of Misgurnus anguillicaudatus (oriental weatherfish), 1796 nucleotides long. Lineage: Eukaryota; Metazoa; Chordata; Actinopteri; Cypriniformes; Cobitidae. The record is from RefSeq and is a predicted model, not a curated record.
AUUAAUUAAGACAUUACCUUUUUGUUGAUUGUUUACUGAUCUAUAAAUCAUUUUGCAUUCUCAUAAUUGAUCAUCAUAACUUGGUAUACAGUGGAUGUGUGGCUGUAGAUAACUUUCUGAAGUCAAUUUAAAAAGGCAAAAGUUAAUAAAUGCUAAAUUGGUCAAAUAUACAUUGUUGUAUUUUCACCAUUUUGAUCUUAUUUAGGCAUUUCAUAACUUGAGGGAAAUUUACGUAUACUGAUGUUUCAAAUCAAAUAUUAAUUUAUUAAUGACAGCUAAUCAUUUUAUAAAGAUUUUUUAUAACAAUAUUUAUUUAUAUAAUAUCAAUUUAAUACAUUUAUUUCGUUACACCUACAUCACUGAGCGCAAGGGAGUGCAGCCAACAAAUACAUUCAGGUGUGUUUGACUUAACACCGAGAUGCGCAGACAGCACGUGGUAUGACAUCAAGUACCGCGAGAGUUUGGGAAAGCCCCGGAAAAGGUUUGAACUCGCGGUACUUGAUGUCACGAUCGGUUUGCGAGUAGAUCAGCAUGAAGUCAAACACAUCUGAGAGAUGUGUGGGCUGCCUGCACUCAACGUUGGGAUCAUUCAAUAGAGUGUAACCUCAAUCGGUUUUUGCAGCUUCUGGGUCCCGUGUAGAACGAUUUUUUGUUCUUUUCCAACUCGAUUUUUAACUCCCUAAACUAGUAGGAUGUUCCAACGGGUGAAGCAACAGUGCUGACGGCAGUUUCAGUGUCAAGUUUUCAUGCCAUGACCACUGGGGCGGAAACCAUUAUGACAUUGCCUUGGACAUCAAACUAAACCAUCUCAUUCUGGCUUUUGAGGUGGAUUCUAACCUCGAAAUCUCAGAAGGACAGGUCUAAGAUGGACGCAGCCUCCAUAGGAUGCAACCUUGCAUUUGAGAAACACCCAUAGAACGGUCAACUUACCCCAUACUCUAACCUGAAUGCAGGGAUCAUAAAACUUUAUCUUUUACCUUAAUUGUUAGAUGGGUGUUGAUACCAAACUUUUUUUCUCGUCUACCCAGGAGAAAGUCAUGGUGUUCUGCUGCUAAGGUUGUCAUAAACGUCUUUUAUUCUGCUUACCUGACUCAUGCAGAAUUCUGGCUUGAUGUUUGGUCCACCUGUUAGCUGGCUCUGGUGCUUGGUAGUCUUCUCAAACCUCUGAAUCAAGACCACCAUGAGAGGCCUUCUGAAGACCAUCAUUACGCUUCAGAUCCAGUUGUCUUUACUUUGAGCCUACCACAAUCCCUGUGCACCAGCUAUGGAAAGUGCAGACCAAACUUCUACCUCCACCUAUAGAACUGAACUGGAGUCUAUGAACUAAUGCUGUGUUCGAGACAACUUGGAUGUUGGAUAUUAUUAACCUUAAACCCGUAAGAAGUCAGGAACAGGAAACAAAGUGGAGUAUCCGACCUCUCAACUUGGACCAGAUCGAUCAACACCGACCUCAACGAGAUGCGUCAUUUGACAUUGCAGACAAGGUGGUGGCUAGCCUUUCACAGCCUUACAUGAACCGCAAACAAACUUUAAACAGCACGUAAUAUAGAUGAACAUGAAUGUUAAAUUAUCCAGUAACCGUUUUCUGCCAUAAUUGGCACAAGAGCACAAACUUCUCCUGGCGUCUCAUUAUGUGGUAAACACGCAAAUGUGAUACGUGAUUGACUGGAAUGCAUUGAGGUCGGAGGUAGGAUAUUUAAUGACAUAACAUCAGAAAUCAGAGUUGUCUGUAACACUGCACAAUAUUUCACCUAAUUGUUAGCACCUGAUUAUCAUGUUUUUAAAGGAAUAGUCUA